UGGGGAAUAUUGCACAAUGGGCGCAAGCCUGAUGCAGCCAUGCCGCGUGUAUGAAGAAGGCCUUCGGGUUGUAAAGUACUUUCAGCGGGGAGGAAGGUGUUGUGGUUAAUAACCACAGCAAUUGACGUUACCCGCAGAAGAAGCACCGGCUAACUCCGUGCCAGCAGCCGCGGUAAUACGGAGGGUGCAAGCGUUAAUCGGAAUUACUGGGCGUAAAGCGCACGCAGGCGGUCUGUCAAGUCGGAUGUGAACUCCCCGGGCUCAACCUGGGAACUGCAUUCGAAACUGGCAGGCUAGAGUCUUGUAGAGGGGGGUAGAAUUCCAGGUGUAGCGGUGAAAUGCGUAGAGAUCUGGAGGAAUACCGGUGGCGAAGGCGGCCCCCUGGACAAAGACUGACGCUCAGGUGCGAAAGCGUGGGGAGCAAACA
RNAcentral lists this ribosomal RNA (427 nucleotides) under uncultured bacterium. RNAcentral describes it as "partial 16S ribosomal RNA". It matches the Rfam family "Bacterial small subunit ribosomal RNA", at positions 355 to 774 of the family's 1533-position model. The record is from RNAcentral.